RNAcentral lists this ribosomal RNA (399 nucleotides) under uncultured bacterium. RNAcentral's name for it is "bacterial SSU rRNA". It matches the Rfam family "Bacterial small subunit ribosomal RNA", at positions 361 to 776 of the family's 1533-position model. The record is from RNAcentral.
AUAUUGCGCAAUGGAGGAAACUCUGACGCAGUGACGCCGCGUGCAGGAAGAAGGUUUUCGGAUUGUAAACUGCUUUAGACAGGGAAGAAACAAGACAGUACCUGUAGAAUAAGCUCCGGCUAACUACGUGCCAGCAGCCGCGGUAAUACGUAGGGAGCAAGCGUUAUCCGGAUUUAUUGGGUGUAAAGGGUGCGUAGACGGGAAGGCAAGUUAGUUGUGAAAUCCCUCGGCUUAACUGAGGAACUGCAACUAAAACUAUCUUUCUUGAGUGCUGGAGAGGAAAGUGGAAUUCCUAGUGUAGCGGUGAAAUGCGCAGAUAUUAGGAGGAACACCAGUGGCGAAGGCGACUUUCUGGACAGUAACUGACGUUGAGGCACGAAAGUGUGGGGAGCAAACAGG